GACGUAGGGUGCGAGCGUUGUCCGGAUUGAUUGGGCGUAAAGAGCUCGUAGGCGGCUUGUCGCGUCGACCGUGAAAACUCGCAGCUCAACUGCGAGCCUGCGGUCGAUACGGGCAGGCUAGAGUUCGGUAGGGGAGACUGGAAUUCCUGGUGUAGCGGUGAAAUGCGCAGAUAUCAGGAGGAACACCGAUGGCGAAGGCAGGUCUCUGGGCCGAUACUGACGCUGAGGAGCGAAAGCGUGGGGAGCGAACAGG
Molecule: ribosomal RNA, 253 nt
Filed under: uncultured bacterium
Lineage: Bacteria
Description: partial 16S ribosomal RNA
Rfam family: Bacterial small subunit ribosomal RNA
Source: RNAcentral